Molecule: ribosomal RNA, 253 nt
Filed under: uncultured prokaryote
Description: partial 16S ribosomal RNA
Rfam family: Bacterial small subunit ribosomal RNA
Source: RNAcentral
ACAGAGGGUGCGAGCGUUAAUCGGAAUUACUGGGCGUAAAGCGCACGUAGGUGGCGACGUAAGUCGGAUGUGAAAGCCCCGGGCUCAACCUGGGAACUGCAUUCAAAACUGACAAGCUAGAGUAUGGUAGAGGGUGGUGGAAUUUCCUGUGUAGCGGUGAAAUGCGUAGAUAUAGGAAGGAACACCAGUGGCGAAGGCGACCACCUGGACUGAUACUGACACUGAGGUGCGAAAGCGUGGGGAGCAAACAGGA